RNAcentral lists this long non-coding RNA (326 nucleotides) under Brassica napus (rape). RNAcentral's name for it is "long non-coding RNA (BNAP_LNC011987)". The record is from RNAcentral. Lineage: Eukaryota; Viridiplantae; Streptophyta; Magnoliopsida; Brassicales; Brassicaceae.
GGGUCAAGAGGUUCGAAAUCCAUGAUCUUUUAAAGUGGUUUACUCUCAAAACAAGUAGUCUUGACAUUGCACAUAAUAUAUCUAAGAAAGGGACCAACUCAUGCAUACAAUGUUCAAUCUCCAUUGUUCUACCCUUUUUCCAAACAUACAAGUUACACAAUCACUUCCCAAUGUCAAGCCCAACUUCCAUCUCUCACCAAUAGAUCCCAAGAAUACUUUACACAUAAAACUCUUUUUCUUUGAAAUCUAUAAAGGAUUUUCUCAACUUCUAUCACCUGAUUUGAAAGUGGGAUAGCUUCUUCAUCCUAACUCCUGUGAGAUUUAUU